Long non-coding RNA from Siniperca chuatsi (mandarin fish), 3312 nucleotides. RefSeq lists it as uncharacterized. The transcript has 2 exons. NCBI's taxonomy places the organism in Eukaryota, Metazoa, Chordata, Actinopteri, Centrarchiformes, Sinipercidae. The record is from RefSeq and is a predicted model, not a curated record.
UGUCAGACAGAUAAACAAUGAGCUGAAACUCACUAUAAAGCUGUGUAAAGCUGAUAAUUCUCUGCAUGUUCAUUACUACCACAGACACCUUUCACAUUGACAUUUUUUUUGCAUUGUCACUGAUAGCCACUUUAAGGAUUGUCUUUGUUGUGGGGGAAGGGUGGAUGAGCUUUUUCUGCAAUUAUUAUAUUUCUAUAUUUAUUAUAUUUUCCAUAUUAGUUUCCCAUGUUUUCCACCAUCACAAACUACAGUUUCAAAACUUGUUGUUGUUGUUGAAUCAGACUGUUGUACUGAAUUGCAGUGACUUGUACAAGAGUUUCUGUUUCUCUCAUUACUAAAAAUAUUUUAUGCAUAUGGGACAUGCAGUAGAGGCCUUUCGACUCACUGGAAUGUGUUUCUUCUUGACAUCCAUUUAGCUAUAGUAAAUAAUUGCAUUUGUGAAUAAAAGAGGAACACAGGAAAACGCAGAAAAAGACAGAACAUACUAUCUAAAGUUUCAGAAAGCCACAACAUAUAAGAAUACGUAAGAAAUACUAUCUGGUGCAGUGAAGAUCAGCUAACAGGACUCUAAUGCAACAUAAGCUGUAGCAGACAGCUACGGCUCAAACAGCCGGAACAAAGACCUGAGGUCAGACUGUGACUCCGCUGCUCUGUGAGAGGAGAAGUGGAUUAAAGGGCCACUGAGUCGGUCACCAUCAAUUGUUUUGGGAUGAAAGCAAAGAAAGGCGUUCACAUAGCGCCGGUCAGCUGGUUCCCGUCCAGCUGUCUGUGGCUGUUUCAGGGACAGAGGAAUGUCACGACUACCCCCCUCAAUCCACAGGGACAGCACUUGUUUGGCAGCCAGCCAUCCCCCCUCCGCAUUCACACACCAGACAAAGACGGACGGCAAGAGUCUAUACUGCUUUUUUUGUGACAGAGGAGGAAUGGUCUGUCCUUGUGGCCAGAUAAUGCUAAAACAUAUUUGUUUAAUGAAAACUUACACUGUGUUUGGUUCCUGUCACAUUAACAAAUCAUUCAUUAUUGUGUCUUUGAAUGUAAUUUAUCACCAGAUCGCCAUGACAUUUGGUAUGAUAUCUGUGGUCCACAGAGGAUAUUUCUGAAUUGUUUGGGGUGGCCACUUGACCUUUUGUGCAGCGCUGCCAGGAAGUCAAAAUUCAAGACUGUUUUCACCUUAAAAGUGACAGCAUUUGUCAUGAAUUAAAAGCAACCUGCAUAUGACAACCUGACAUCGACCUCUAACGACUACACGAAUAAUGACUCUGUCCGGACCAAAGGCCGAAGUAGUGUGAUGUUAUCAUAGCACCACAAAACGUCUUCUCGGGAGGAAGUUGGGUGGAAGGUUUGGAUCAGCAAAGCGUGUGACUUCCUGUUUCCUACCAACAGUCAGCGUUGGUUUGUUUUAACCAUGACCACCGCCUUUGUCUAACUGUAACCGAGUGGUUUUUGUGCCCAAACUUAACCAAACCCAUGUCCCAUGCUGGUACAACAAGAUUGUUUCAGAUGGCGAUGACAAACGACACUUUGGACCAUGACAAGGUUUCUCAAAAAUAAAAUGCUGUAUAUCCAUAACGCUUGAUACAUUGGCGGUCUAUAAUCUAUAGUCCCCAGAGGAUAAAUAUGGUUUUUAAUUUGACCAUUCUCGCAUUUCACACAAGAAAUAUCAAAAUCUAAGAGGCAGAUUUGCAUAAAAUGUCCUGAUCCCCAGAGGAUGAACUCUCGUGCCACCUUCAGGACAAACGCCAUUACUUGUAAGACUUUAAGAAUAGCUAAAUCUCUAGUAUGUGGUUUUUGCCUCAGUUCACGAUUUUGACUCUUUGUCUGUAAAAGAAAAAAGCAUUCAUUUAUCUCUGUCCAGUUGUAGUUUUAAGAAUUAUUUUAUCUUAUUCUGAGAAGGGAAAAAAAGGGAUGUUAAGACUGAAUGAUUUACGAUUAUGGGAUUUACAAUUCAGCAAACUUUAUCGAUCCCCAGGGAAAAAGAGUGCUCACAGACCUGAACAUAAAAUACACAAAACAUAGUAAAGUACAAAACAAUAUGACACAAAUAAGUAAAGAAAAAAGAGCUUAAACAUAUCACAUAAAAUACAAUGUAUGUAAAUCACUGCAUUUCAUAAAACCUACAGUAGAUGGACAUGGCGGCAUUUAAUUGGGUCAGCUGAUGUCUGUUUGAUUCUUUGAUGUAUUGGACUUUAAUGUUGUUCAGGCCAUUAGUGGAAGUGUCCUUGUCAAAUAUCAGGGUCUCUUUAGUGACUCUCAUGAGGAAUUAAUAACAUGAGCAGCUCUCUCUGAACCCGCUGACACUGAUAUCACACACUAAGCCGUGCAAGCUAAUUAAUGAGAAGAGAUUUAAAAAGAGAAUACAUGCAAGCUUAGAAAGAGAAAACUAGAAUCUGUAUAAAGCUCCUCUGUCCUUUAAGCACAGAGGUAUGAACAAGGUCAUUAAAAGGUCAGCUCCAUCCAGCAGCCUGUAAAGUUGCGUUUUUAUAGCCUUUGGUUUUGUCCAGCUGAGUGAGUCCAUGUUUCUUGGUCAUCCGGCUGUUUCAAACUGCACUGAUGCCACUUUCCCUUCGAGGUACUACACCCACACCAGCUGACAGAGGCCUGUAAAGUCACCACAGACAGCAGGGAGAUACCCAGUGAACCAACAGAGCUGUCAAGUGAAGAGGUGAUAUAUCCCCCCGGCCAAAUACUGCAACAACAACACUGCUUUGUUAUUUGUUUUUAACCCAUUAUGAACCAUAUCCACAUGCUCACACGGGGCUGUACAGCUGUUCCCUGUUUGUUUAGUCUUGCGACAUACUUCCACAAUUACAGCAAAGAUACUUUUGUUUUUGUCUUUCUUUCCAAGUUAUUUUCAGGCUGUCGGUGACGUUGCGGGGAAGUAAUACUUGCGACGUGUGGCUGCUGCGGGAGUGUGGAAAGUGAUGAUGCAGAGGUGUGCUAUGUGAGGCUACAGCCACGUCACUGAAGGGGUGUGGACACACGUCUGUUGAUCACACACCAGCCCUGACUUGUUCGUCAGCCAAGAAGCACACAUGCUCCCGAGCUGCUGUUUGUGGUUUGAAUCGGCACAGAUGUGUCUUUUAACUGCUCAGAAAAGUCUAUGAAAUGUUUUUUUUUGUUUUUUUUAAAUCCCAAGAACAUUUUGAAGAGAGGGUGUCAUCUCAGAUCCAGGGAGGGAACUCAAAGACCUCUGACAGAGAUAAGCAGUCUUUAAGAGAAAUGACAUCUGUUCUUGAGAAAUAACUCCUGCAGCCCACACGUUUACAGAUCAUCACUUCCUGCUUUACACAUCUGCAGCGCUUACUGGAAGAA